Molecule: ribosomal RNA, 429 nt
Filed under: Gemmatimonadota bacterium
Lineage: Bacteria; Pseudomonadati; Gemmatimonadota
Description: Gemmatimonadetes bacterium partial 16S ribosomal RNA
Rfam family: Bacterial small subunit ribosomal RNA
Source: RNAcentral
UAGGGAAUCUUCGGCAAUGGACGAAAGUCUGACCGAGCAACGCCGCGUGAGUGAAGAAGGUUUUCGGAUCGUAAAACUCUGUUGUUAGAGAAGAACAAGGACGUUAGUAACUGAACGUCCCCUGACGGUAUCUAACCAGAAAGCCACGGCUAACUACGUGCCAGCAGCCGCGGUAAUACGUAGGUGGCAAGCGUUGUCCGGAUUUAUUGGGCGUAAAGCGAGCGCAGGCGGUUUCUUAAGUCUGAUGUGAAAUCCCCCGGCUCAACCGGGGAGGGUCAUUGGAAACUGGGAGACUUGAGUGCAGAAGAGGAGAGUGGAAUUCCAUGUGUAGCGGUGAAAUGCGUAGAUAUGUGGAGGAACACCAGUGGCGAAGGCGGCUCUCUGGUCUGUAACUGACGCUGAGGCACGAAAGCGUGGGGAGCAAACAGG